Molecule: ribosomal RNA, 462 nt
Filed under: uncultured bacterium
Lineage: Bacteria
Description: partial 16S ribosomal RNA
Rfam family: Bacterial small subunit ribosomal RNA
Source: RNAcentral
GAUGAACGCUGACAGAAUGCUUAACACAUGCAAGUCAUUGGCGAAGCUGCGCUUGCGCAGUCUAGCCAAGGCGGACGGGUGAGUAACGCGGAAGGAACUUGCCCUGCAGACAGGGAUAACAGACGGAAACGACUGAUAACACCUGGUAUUGUCAGGCUGGCGCAUGCCGGCCUGAUGAAAGGAGACGCUGCAGGGGAGCCUUGCGUCCUAUUAGCUAGUUGGUGGGGUAACGGCCCACCAAGGCGAUGAUAGGUAGCCGGCCUGAGAGGGUGAACGGCCACAAGGGGACUGAGAUACGGCCCUUACUCCUACGGGAGGCAGCAGUGGGGAAUAUUGGACAAUGGGGGCAACCCUGAUCCAGCAAUUCUGUGUGCACGAAGAAGGUUUUCGGAGUGUAAAGUGCUUUCAGCAGGGAAGAAGAAAGUGACGGUACCUGCAGAAGAAGCGACGGCUAAAUACGUG